GCAUGACAUGUUUGUUUCCAUUACAAUCCACCAAAUAACUUGGUACAAAACAAAAACCAACCAAGUCAUCAACAUUGGCGCAUAACCACCAACUCAAAAUGGACUAUCCCAACAACAUUCUGACAAUCAUUAAAGUUCUAAAGUUUUGGUGCAAAGCAAAAUGACAAUCACUUAAUAAGUACAGAGAAUGUCUACUUAAUUAGUUCUUAAAUUCAUCCAGAAAUCUGAAACAAAAGUACUGCAUA
Molecule: long non-coding RNA, 245 nt
Filed under: Daucus carota (carrot)
Lineage: Eukaryota; Viridiplantae; Streptophyta; Magnoliopsida; Apiales; Apiaceae
Description: long non-coding RNA (DCAR_LNC004157)
Source: RNAcentral